GUUCUAAAUGUUCUUGCAUGGAAUGGAUACAUUUAUAAUGCCGUGAGAUCAUUCUGAUUGCUGGGACGUGCUGAGAAUUGAUUUAAGAAAUGGACCUCUAGAGGAAUGGCAGCCUAGAGAAGCCUGCCUUUUGAUUUAAAUCAACUUGUGGAGAUUUUUUUCUGAGUGCCUCCACCAUCUAGGCAGGCCAGAUAUUGAAGAGACUACAGUUUUCUAGGCAUGGGAGGAAAUGUUAGGUUGUCUUCUUUACACCUAUAAAAGUAACAGAGGUCCCAGUUUCUUUUGCAUCUGCUGCUCCUAUUUUUUUUCAUGACAACAAAAACUUCAUUAUGGGAUGAUCUUUCCAGAGAGCCUGAUAUGCUGCAAAAUGCUACCAUCCUUAGUCAUUGGACAAGUCCUUAUGUGAUUUGUACAAAAGAAUUUUCAACUAGAAAACUAGAGCAAGUGGAUGAAUUUGUGUAACUUGGCAGAAUGUUUAUUAAAGAUGGGAAAACAGAUGGAGAAAUGCUAGUAAAAAUCCAAUGGUAGUAUAUAGUCUAACAAAAGGAAGGAAUAUUUGUAUAAAAAAAUAAAACUGCUUAUGUAUAAGAGAAACGUUAUCAUUUAAUAAGAAAAUUAGCAUUCAGUAUAUCAGAAAAAAUAACAAAAUGGGAUACUUACGAAUGCUAAUUAAAUACAAAAACAAAUGGCAACUAUAUGAGUGAAGUAUAUCGAAAUGGUUUGAUCAUACAGGGAAAUAAUGAACUAGGAAUGAAUAGCUAAACAAAUCAGUGGAAGAAGAAUGAGUGGAUUAAGACGAAGGGGAAAAUUGAAAAGAUUAUAGUUAGAGGUAAUAGAUGAGCUCCUCCAUAAGAGGCAAAUAGCAAUGCAUGAAGUGAUGUAUGGAUGGAAGCAAAAGGUUGGUUGGUGUUUUGUUUUUUUUUUCAAAAAUGGGAAGGUAUAGAGAGUUUUCAUGAAUGGUGCUGAUAUAAAUUAGAUCUUUCUUUUUCUCCCCUUCAAUCAUGUCCAUUUCUCGGAGAUUGCCUGGACAAGUCCCUGCACUUUCCCUGAUAAGGUUUUCAAGAAGAGCUUUGCCAUUGUCUUCUUCCUUGGGCUGAGACAGAGUGAUGAGACCAAGAUCACCCAGCUGGUUUUGUACCUAAGGUCCACAAAUCUUCCCACCUGAAAGAUAUCGGCUCUCCAAAAUCUUUGGCUCCAGUUAUCAAUUAUUGUGAGACUGAUCUAUUGUGAUGUGCCAAAAGGUUUUUUGUUCCUACUUUCUCACCUGUCUGGCAAACUUCAUGCAUCUGGAGUUAAGCUGGGUUUAGUGCUUUGUUUAGCAUUAUGUUGGUACAAGAUACAGUCCAUGUUUCUCAAAUCAUAAUAGCCAGCAAUAAAAGCAGGCAUUUGGGAUACUCAGCUAUCAAACAUAUUUCUUGAAGCCCGAUACCAAGAUUUAGUUUACUUAUACUGUAGAAACGGUUGAGAGGUAGCCUGUUGUGGUAUCACAAGGGAUUUCCUGUCAGGACUGGAGGAACGGGAUUUAUACCACCUAAGCUGAGGGUACUUGCCCCCUGCCUCCAGCAACCUUUGGCAGAGUCCACAGUUGCAACCUAACACCACUUCUACACCUGAUAGGACCCAACUGGCAGGUCUACAAACUUUCCCCUCAUUCAAUCUAAACAUGUUACAGAGUGUGGGCUUAGCUUGAACCUCAGCCAUAUUUUCCCCUCUUUUUUUCUUUCUUUUUUUAAUAUUGCCAGAUGAAGAAUCCUUGGACAAUUCAAAGGCCUGACCCAUCUUUCAUUUCCAGCUAUUUUUGGGGGGAGAAUGGUUAGCCAUGAUUCUGCGGGCUCUUCCCCAAGCACUGGGUUGGGAUGUUGGCUGGGUCCAACAAAGAUGCAACUGUGCUAUAAGUUUGUUAUGGCACCUUGACUACUGUAUUAUGGUUAUUGUUUAAUUUAUUUGAAUGUUCCCCCAAAAGAGAGAUUGAAAGCAUAUCAGGCUGUUCAUUCUGAGAGGUAUGAAAAUUAUGCAUCCCCCCAUCUGUCAUUUAGAAAGACCUGAUUCUUCUAGCAGGCACUGGGCAAGGGAGAUUGCUGAACCUGCUGGUAUAUUUGCGUGACUAAAGAUUUUGUCUUCCCCUCCUAUAAUUAUUUUACCAUUGAUUCUUCUUUUGUUAAUUCUGAUGGCUUUUUAACCCUGUUUACUUGUCUUCUUGAACUGUUGUGUGAGUAAGCAGCCUUAAAAAUCAAAUUCAU
Crotalus tigris (Tiger rattlesnake) is the source of this 2240-nucleotide long non-coding RNA. RefSeq lists it as uncharacterized. The record is from RefSeq and is a predicted model, not a curated record. Lineage: Eukaryota; Metazoa; Chordata; Lepidosauria; Squamata; Viperidae. The transcript has 4 exons.